RNAcentral lists this long non-coding RNA (4742 nucleotides) under Sus scrofa (pig). Its description in RNAcentral is "lncRNA (ENSSSCG00060028091.1)". Lineage: Eukaryota; Metazoa; Chordata; Mammalia; Artiodactyla; Suidae. The record is from RNAcentral.
UUUUUUUUUUUUUGUCUUUUGUUGUAGUUGUUGUUGUUGUUGUUGCUAUUUCUUGGGCCGCUCCUGCGGCAUAUGGAGGUUCCCAGGCCAGGGGUUGAAUUGGAGCUGUAGCCACCGGCCUACGCCAGAGCCACAGCAACACGGGAUCCAAGCCGCGUCUGCAACCUACACCACAGCUCACGGCAACGCCGGAUCGUCAACCCACUGAGCAAGUGCAGGGACCGAACCCGCAACCUCAUGGUUCCUAGUCGGAUUCGCUAACCACUGCGCCAGACGGGAACUCCCCUCAGUGUGAUUUUGAUGUGCAGCUCCCUGAUGAUUAGCAUUUCCUAUGCCUGUUGGCCAUCUGUACUUCCUCUUUGGAAAAAUGUCUAUUAGUUCCUCGGCCCAUUUUUAGAUUGGGUUGUUUGAUUUUUUGAUGUUGAAUUGUAUGAAAGGGAGAUUGACCCCUUAUUGGUCAUAUUAUUUGCAAAUAUUUGCUCCCAUUCAGUAGGUUAUUUUUUUCAUUUCAUCAACCUUUGCUGUGCAAAAGCUUUUAUGUUUAAUUAGGGCCUAUCUGAUUUUUUUUUUUUCCUUUACUUUGGGAGGGGGAUCCAAAAAAAUAUUGCUGUGAUUUAUGUCAGAGAGUGAUCUGCCUAUAUUCUCUUCUAGGAGUUUUGUAGUAUUGGGUCUUAUAUUUAGUUCUGUGAAAAAUACCAUUGGUAUUUUCAUAGAGAUUGCUCUAAAUCUGUAGAUUGCCUUGGGUAAUAUGGUCAUUUUAACAAUAUUUAUUCUUCCAGUCCAAGAACAUGGUAUGUCUUUUUUUCUAGGUUGUCCAUUUUAUUGUAUAUGAUUGCUCAUAGCAGUCUCUUAUAGUCUCUUCCGUAAGCGAUGCCAGGAAAACUGGCCAGCUUUGUGUAAAAGUAUGAAGUUAGAACAUUCUCACCCUAUCUGGCUUGUAAGAAAUGAGGCAGAAGGUCCGUGUGGAGUCACUGGUUCAGCUGCACAUGGUGGAAGUCCAGUCAGUGCUGACCCUCCUCGGACCUGAAGUGGUCAUAGUCACAGAUGAUGUUUCCAGUCUGAGCAACAUUCCCGGACACGUGGAGGAGCUAGGGUAGACCCCAUGUAGCUGCUGUCCCAGGUCUGGUUCCCUCCCCUUUUUCCUCUCUUACCAAAUCCUGAUUGAGUUUGGCGGGGUCACCUGCCCAAUAAAAUACUCACCUUCCACAUGCCCUGACAGCUGGGUGUGGCAUGUGACCCCAUUCUAGUCAAAGAACCGAAAGAGAAAAUGUCUAGGUGAGGGUUCUUUUCUUAAAUGGUUUUUUCUUUUAGCUUUGGGAUAUGAAAACAUUAGGUGAUUUGAAAGUCAGGAGUAUGAAAUAAGGUACAUUCACCUCCAUCCCUACCUCCCACACCUGUUCCUUCCUCCCCCUUUAGAUGUAGAUGUGCUUGUUUGUCUCCCAUGCAAAUGUCUGUGUAUUUCUUUCCUUCUUUUUUUUACGUAAUAGGAUAUGUAUCAAUAUAUCUAUAGCUAUACUGUUCUCCUUGUUCUUUUUUAUUUCCUGUUCUUGAAUCUUGGAGAUCGUGCCAUAGCUGUAUGUGCAGUGCUUCCUCAUUUCUUUUUUACUGCAUAGUAUUUGACUGUGUGUCUAUAUUAAGGAUUUUCCAAACGGUCCCUUCGUGAUGGACACUUGGGUUAUUUCCAGUUGUUUUAAUCAUCGGUGAUGCCACAGUGAAUAAUCUUAAGCAUGAGUCAUUUUCCAUUUAUGCCUGAUCCCAUUUGGGAUGGAGUCCUAGAAGUGGGGUUGUUCGAUGGAAGGAUGAUAAUAGAUAUAAUUGUGCUCUACUUUGCCAACUUCUCUGCCAAGGGAGUUGUACCAUUCUGACUGCAAAGCCUUUUGUUUGCCCUUUGCCCUUUUUCCAUCUGAAUUUCUAGUCCUCCACUGCCUACCACUGCCCUUCCUGUUCUAGGGAGACACAGAAAUCCUUCACCUGUGUAGCCAGGGAUUUUUAAUCAUAAUCAUUUGGAUACUGAGUAAAUCUAAUUAAAAUUACCAUAGUUUCCUUGUGACCCAAAGGAUUAAGGUGAGCAUUGUCCCUGCAGUGGCUCAGUGCUGCAGUGUGGGUCCAGUCCCUGGCCUGGGAACUUCCACAUGCUGUGGAUGUGGCCAAAAAAAGAAAAAUAAAUUCUGUAAUGUUAAUUGAUUAGUAAGUUGGUACCUAUGAUAAGACCCACUGUCCGACAUGGUAGCCACUAGCCCCAUGUGGCCAUUUAAGGUCAAGUUGAAUAAAAUGAAGAUGUCAAUGCCUCUGCUGCACUGGCCACAUUUCAAGAGUUUAGUAGGCACAGGACUCUAAUGGCUACCACAGUGGGUAGCACAGUACAAAAUACCACCAUCAUCCCAGAAGGUCCUGCAUCACUGAUACACAACUCAGGGUAACGCUUUGGGGUCACUCUAGUGCCAUUCUGAUGCCUUCCUACAUCUUCCAAAGUAUUACUGGAAACAUAACUCUAUGUGAGAUCAGGCUUAUCUAUCCAUCCGCUAACCCGAUGUCACCACAUAAGAUGCGACCUGCCUCGGCUUCUUCUACGGGGAAAAACCCACCCUCUGUGGCCUUCUGCCGUCUCCUGAAGGCACGUGUGCUGUGGGAGACAGCCUGGACCAACGCCCCCCCCCCCCCAAGGUGUAACACAGUGCAAGUACCUUUUUCGGGAAGAGCAUUUAUAGGCCAAAAAAGAUAGAUGGGCACAAUCCGAAUACAAUCACCAGAAGGAUGCUGGUAAUAUUGUAAAGAAGAGGCGGUUUCAUCAACAGCGCCGAAGAGAGCCCGGCACCAAAGGCAUUGAGCUCGGAGGCAAUUUCUGAGUGGAGAACCCAGAUACUUGAGAAAGCACCUUUCCACCUCAAUUUCAGUUUUGAAGGAAAAAGCAAGGGCUGAGCUGCACAAGCAAGGAGGACGCUUGCAAGCUCCCGAAGCUCUGAGGGUUUUCACACAGUGUGGAUGCCCAUAUUGCGAGAUCGGGUGGAGCGGGAUCAUCUGUCAGCCUGUCUGUUCGCAUAGCUGUGCUAUUCAUAGAAAAUGCACCUCCUUCCCCAAAGAAACACCAUAUGCCUCUUCUCUUACCUAAUUGGGCGCAUGUGUCCUAGGGACCUGUGGCAUGCAGGGGGAGGGGAUUGUGCCAGGUGACUCAAGUGGCCACUUGGGAUGCUUCUCUAGAACCUUCCUCAUGACGGCAAGAGCAAGAGGGAACCAUAUUAAUGAACACAUUUGAAAUGAGGUUUGACUCCUGCCAUCGAUGGCAUCAUGAGAAAGGAAGCGGAAGAAGACGGGGCCAUCUCUGGGGCUCCUAAGACACUGUCCAUCACUCUUCACGACCCCCUCUGGCCCCCUGGCUCAUCCAGCCCGAGCUACCUGGCUCCCCCCAUUGAAACCCCUUCCUCCCCCCUCCCUCACCAAGCCUGUGUAACUGGACUGUCCACCCAAACAGCGAUGGAGAGAAACACCCACCUGCGGUUCUCAGGGGCUGGGAGGAGGGAACAGCAGGAGUUACUGGUUCACAGACACUAAGUUUCGGUUUGGGACAAUGAGAAAGUUCUAGAGAAGGAGGGCGUGACCGUUGCACCACAAUUUGAAUGGACAAAUUGAAUGCCACUGAAUUGUAUACCUGAACGAGGUAAAACGGUAAAUUUCAUGUCAUGGACAUUUUACCGUAAUAAAGCGUUUUGAAAAACCGCUCCGUGUUGUUGGCUGGUGUCAAUUCAAUUUCAAGGACACAGAUGGCAAGUGGACAUUUGAUCGAGGCCAUCAGUCCUAUGUGCUCCUCUGGUGUUUUCACUUUCUCACUCUCCAAACGACUGUUUCACACUUUCUCCUGUGUCCGCCUACACUCUCACGCCUUUGCUCACCCUCGAGCUGCAAUGAGCAAAUGCAGGGAAAAUGCAGGCUGUGCGACAGAAACCCCCUCAUCUUCCCAGAGACUCCCCUACCUCGAGCCGUAUUCCGUGCCUUCUCUCCCAUAACUGGGGAUGAAGUGUCCUGCUUGUAUCAAAAACUCCUCUCUGGGGUGAAAGGACUAAGGAAUUACAGCUUCAUGAUCAGAGUUUGGGUUUGGGGGUGAUGAAGAAUGUUGGAAAUCACACCAUCUAAGUGUACAGUGUUGUGAAUGGAAUUAAUUCCACUAAAAAUAGCUACCAUGGCAAGUAUAUAUAUUUUUUCACAAUAAAAAAAAUUUUUUUCUUUUAAAUCCUAGCCCUCUGACUUGGGCUGUAGAAGCCACUCAAGGACCUUCUUCCUGCAGGAUUCCCUCUGGGCCCCACGCCAUCAGCAUCCGCUGUCUUCCCAUUUCUCCCUUCACCACCCGCCUCCGCUUGGAAGUUUCGAGGUCACUCAUCCCUCUCCUCAGUCACCACUGAGCCUUCCAUCCUGACCCAUCCACUGACUGUCCUUAGGAGAGACAGAUAAGCUCUAUGCAUCCGACUGAACGGCCACUCAGCCUUCUUGAUACCCUUGUGACUCCCAAGACACUGUCCUUCCCUGCCUCCUAGGAAGCUCCGCCUGGAUCUUUCUCUGCUCUCUCCUCUGCCUGCUAACAUGUCCCCAGGACUCUGUUCCGGGCUCCCUUCCCUUGUCCCCUCACGCGACAUGCCUGGGUGACCUCAUUCAGUCACGUGUUUUAAAUGCCCAUGAAGACCAGAGUUCCCACUACGGCACGACGGGGACUCAGGUUUGAUCCCCGCAGGGCACAGUGGGUUAAGGAUCGG